GCUCUGAAGACGGGGAGAGUGAAGGUCUGAAGGGUAACAGACGGGAUGGAAGUUUCAGAGAGGAAGGACGGAUGAGCUAGGGGGUGGACGGCGAGAGUGAGGAGAACGAAGCACGGUCCGAGUCUUGGAACGGAGCAGAGCUUCGAUUGAAAAUAACUCUGGCCCAGAAAUAAACGUCCUAGAAUCCGAGCUGUUCUAGCACGGCCAGUACCAAAACUCUGAGUUCUCUACUUAUAAACCGGCAGCUUGAAAAAGAUGUCCAAGGGAGCAAAGGUGUCUGUGAUCUUCAAAUAAGGGCAAAGAAAUAAAGGAGGCUUCCAAACUCAAGUCAGAGGCAGGUCAUCGCCGAGCAAGGACCGGCAACGAGACGGGCCCCGGGAUGACCGGAGAGGUGGGCUGACCGGAGAUGACCGGGGGGGGGGGGGGGAGAAGGGAGCUUGGACACGUGAGAAGAGCGGCGGGGAAGAGAAGAGUCUGGCAACUGAAAGAACACGGGCAGAAGGUCCGACAAGGAACGGUAACAAGAAGAAGGGCGGGGAAAAUACAAAGACACUUGGAUGUUG
Ornithorhynchus anatinus (platypus) is the source of this 563-nucleotide long non-coding RNA. RefSeq lists it as uncharacterized. The record is from RefSeq and is a predicted model, not a curated record. NCBI's taxonomy places the organism in Eukaryota, Metazoa, Chordata, Mammalia, Monotremata, Ornithorhynchidae. The transcript has 3 exons.